RNAcentral lists this RNase P RNA (387 nucleotides) under Verrucomicrobiota bacterium. Its description in RNAcentral is "Verrucomicrobia bacterium (activated sludge metagenome) RNase P RNA component class A". It matches the Rfam family "Bacterial RNase P class A". From Rfam's summary of the family: Ribonuclease P (RNase P) is a ubiquitous endoribonuclease, found in archaea, bacteria and eukarya as well as chloroplasts and mitochondria. Its best characterised activity is the generation of mature 5'-ends of tRNAs by cleaving the 5'-leader elements of precursor-tRNAs. The record is from RNAcentral. Lineage: Bacteria; Pseudomonadati; Verrucomicrobiota. RNAcentral also lists the same sequence under 1 other name.
UUCGGGAGGGGCAUGAUCGCUUCGCGUUCGCGCGGGGAGGAAAGUCCGGACUCCACAGGGCAGGAUAUCCCCAGGGCCGCCUUUGAGCGGGGAGGGGAACGGCAGGCGAAAAGCCUGUUGAUGGCUAGUGCCACAGAAACAAUACCGCCUCGCAUCUGCGGGGUAAGGGUGAAACGGCGGUGUAAGAGACCACCGGGUGGAUCCGCAAGGGUCGCCGCAGGUAAACCCUAUCUGGAGCAAGAUCAAAUAGGAAGCGAGAGGCGGCCCGCCUCGUUGCCUUCGGGCUGAAAGCUUCGGGUUGAUCGCAUAUGCUGACAUCAGCGAGAUAAAUGAUCAUGGCCUCGCAGUUGCGGGGAACAGAAUUCGGCUUACAACCUCCCGAGCCAC